UAUCUGGUCACCCUAGGGGGCGGGGUGAUGGGGAGCCACACACAGGGCACUGCCCCACUUGGCCACCAGUGCACAUCUCUAGUUGGGGAGUGACACACACCAGGAGCAGGACUCACUGCUACAAAGGGGUUGGAAGAUACCCAGGUACUGCCUGACACGGCCACUCAGGCACCCUGCCACCUUGGGGGAGAUGAAGAUCACACCUCCGGCACUGACUCCUCUGGCUACCAGCGGUCACUGGCCCAAUGCAGGGAUUGGGGUGAGUAAAUACAGGCAACUGCCCGACCUGGGCAACGUAAGUCACCGAGAGUGGGAUAUGCAGAGGGUACUGCCCCAAUGGCUGAUAAACAUAUAGGGCCCUGCCUCACCUACCCACCAGCUCAUAGGCACAGUGGCAAUGAUGGGGUCACAUAGUCAAUGGCCCUCAGUGGCCAUCAGGGGUCACUGCAGCAGUGCUAGGGGCGGGCACAUAACAGGCAUUGUCGCACCUGGCCACUAGGAGUCACUGCUCCAAGAAGGCACCUACAGGGCACUCCCAUGCCUGGCCAGCAGGGGUCACUAUCACAGGGGGGGAGGCUGUGGGGAAGCAGAGAAAGAGCAACUAACUGCAGUGGGGAAAAUCAUAAUCUACUGGGGAGAAAGAACGGACUCCACUAGGACAUUGCACCAACUCUAGCCAGGCUGGAUACGAGCAAUUCGGACUGGAGUAGCUCCAGCUAGAGGCUGGGCGGAGGCAGGUGACCUCAGUCUCUGCGCUGAGCAGGCUGCUUUGGCAGCGAGGAGAGACAGGGAACCCCCCGGCCAGGGUCUUAGUGUCCCAAGAUGGGGAGAUCUGUGGCAGUCUUUGAAGUGGCUGGUUCAGCAGCCGUGAGCUGCAUGCUUGUCCCUGCCUGAGCUCUAGGGGCACAUUACGCACAGGUGUGCACUGGAUGUAGGCACCAGUGUAACGACAGGGCCAGACUCUGCUGAGUGCUGCCUGCAAGAGACAGGGGCAGAUUCAGACAGGCAGAUGGGGGCAGGAGAUGACAGGGCCAGCAAUCAUGAGCUGAAGCCAUCACACUUCCGGCCUGUUUCAUAACCACCCGUCCCUUCAGCUCUCCAUCUGUCCCGCUGUCUGUCCAACCUUCCAGCCUCAUCUGCUCCCACACCCCUUCACCCAUCUGCCUCACACACUCAUCUAUCUCCACAUCAUCCCGCUGGCACUCUGACUGGCCCUGCCCAGCACAGUGAGGUGUGGACAGGGCCAGAUUAACCUUCUGUCAGCUUGGUGCCAAACAUAUUUGUGGGCCCCUGUGGGAAUGGGGCAUGGCAGGAGGGGGGGUUGAUCCCCAGAGUGAGGGGCCGGCCAGAGGCAAGGCAUGGAGGGGAGCUCAGCCCCAGUCCAUGCAGCCCAGUACAAGGGCAGUUUACAACCCCACACCUGCCAGACCCAUACUGGCCCUGCCAGCGUGCUCUGCCAUACCACCCCCGGCCCCACUCAUUACCCCCCACCCUUUAUGUCCAGCAACUCCUAUGCCCAGGGCCUUCUCAUCCAGAGAUCUGGCCCUCAGAUCCCUAUGUCCAGCACCCUCCACUGCCCAGUGCCCCUCUCACAGCCUCCCCACAACUGCCCAGAACCCAAACUCUGUGCACUAUUUUAAAAUUCUGCAAAUGUUAUUUGUCAAUAAAUGAAUGCGGAAACUCCAGCCUGGCAGAGGGGAGCACAGACCACUGGCUGCGUGGAGGUGGGAGAGCACCCUGCAGCCCUCCUCCCCCCCACAUCCUCUCCCAGGAGAGGGACUCAGCCGUGAGGCUGUGUCAGGGUCGAGUGCAGUGUAAGGGAUAGGCCUGCCCCAGAAAUACCCUGAGACCCUGCU
Non-coding RNA from Chelonoidis abingdonii (Abingdon island giant tortoise), 1856 nucleotides. Lineage: Eukaryota; Metazoa; Chordata; Testudines; Testudinidae. The record is from RefSeq and is a predicted model, not a curated record.